CAGAGUAUUAGCUAUAAGAAGAAGCUGGGCCAACAUGGAUUGUUCUCUCUGAAGGAGAUCUGAUAUAAGUUUCUAAAACUAAAGGAGGCAUAGAAGUGGUUUGCCAUUGCCUUCUACUGGGCAGUGUCUUUACAAGACAGGUGACUCCAGUCAUUAACAAUACUCUUAAGAAAUUUACUCGUUGGCAUCAGUGGUCGCAUAACCAAGACUUGUGAUAUGUACCAGCUGCUCUUUCUUUCUUUUUAAAUCUUUUUAUUGAGUAAGUAUACAAAAAAGAAAUGAUUCUGCAGCUGGUCAGAAUCCAGAGAAGCAGCAUCCAAAACGCUGGAGGAGCUCAGCAGGUCAGACAGCAUUUAUGGAAAUGAACAAACAGUUGACUUUCAGGCUGAGACCCUUCAUCAGGACUGGAAAGGAAAGAAGAUGCCAGAACAAAAGGUCAACAGCGGAAUGCCAUUUCACUGGGUCUUCACUCAUCUCUGGAACAUCCAAACAACCAAGAUCCAUAUAUCAAGAUGCUCUUCAGUCCCUACAGCUCAGCAUUUAACAGUAUCAUCCCCUCGAAACUAAUCACUAGGCUCCAAGAUCAAGACCUUGAAUCCUCUCUCUCAUGCAACUGGAUUCUCAAUUUGUUCACUUGCAACCUACAGACCAUACGGAUUGGCGACAACAUCUCCUCCACAACCACCAUCAGCACAGGUGCACAACAAGGCUGUGUGCUUAACCCCUGCUGUAUUCGUGUUAUAUUUAUGAUUUUGUGGCUAAGUACACUCCGAUUCCAUAUUUAAGUUGGUUGACUUUGCCGAGACUGUUGUGGGCCAAAUCAAAUACGGUAACAAAUCAACAUAUAGGAUGGUUGUUCUUUGUUCGCAAUCAGCAACGAGCUUUAUUUACACAAAACAGAUACUGAUGCCAACAGUCAAAAAUCUGCAUUUUAUCCAACCAAAGAACAGCUCCCAAAUAACUUCUUAUUUGGAAAUGAUCUCCAGUCCAGCAGAUUACCUGAAGCAUCAUUGUGUCUUCCUUAAAACACAAACAAAUUAAGCAACUUCAUCUCACAAAAUAGAGGAUAUAAACAACUCCAGAAAAUGGUAACCUCCAUUUCCAAGCACCUGGCAGGAACAAAGACAUUGUCUGCUUCCAUUGUCCUUGACCCAUUUGAGUUCAAUGUUUUCUUCCACAUUUCAAAUCCACUAUGGCCAACACUACAACUCAGGUUCUCAGUAUUUUUUUUAUUUGCCCAAUUUGUAUUCUUUUUCAAAUUGGAUAUUUGCCAGACUAUGUUUAUCUAUAGCUUUUAAUGAAUUAUAUUGUAUUUAUUUUCCUGUAAAUGCCUGCACGAAGAUGAAUCUCAAGGUAGUAUAUGGUAACAUACACCCAGUGGCCACUUUAUUAGGUACAACUGUAGACCUGCUCAUUAAUAAUGUGGCCAAUGAUUGUAUAUGUACUGUACUUUGAUGACAAAUUUACUUUGACUUUGAAUAAUUAAUUAUGCAUUUAAAGCCAUUAA
Molecule: long non-coding RNA, 1507 nt
Organism: Mobula hypostoma (lesser devil ray)
Lineage: Eukaryota; Metazoa; Chordata; Chondrichthyes; Myliobatiformes; Myliobatidae
Exons: 4
Source: RefSeq, a predicted model, not a curated record